Molecule: long non-coding RNA, 1218 nt
Filed under: Homo sapiens (human)
Lineage: Eukaryota; Metazoa; Chordata; Mammalia; Primates; Hominidae
Description: HSALNT0271864
Source: RNAcentral
AGGCCUCAUUUACACAACAAAAAUAUUUGAGGAUAUUCUGGUGGAUGCAAAGUAGAUGAAGUAAUAUUUAAAAAUAUUAUGUUUUCGCACACUUUUUAUAAAAUGUCAGACAAAAGAAGAGUCAUGGUGUAAAAAAAUUAUCUGAAGUCACUGAAGAGCAUCACAGUUUUCUCUGGCUUCAGUGUAUUGUAAUAUAUUACAUAUAUCGAUGUCCCUUCUGAUAAUCAGCAUAAGCAUCAUCGCUACCAUUGUUUUAUUCGUUAUUGCUGUUAUAACAAAUUAGCACAAAUUGAGUGCAUUAAACCAGUAAACACAUCUUCUGUAUAACAGAAGUGUAAAAUGGGUCUCAAGUUAAAAUCAUUCCUGGAAACUUUAGAGAAUUCAUUUCCUUGCCUUUUUCAGCUUCUAGAGCUCACCAGUAUUCCUUGGCUCCCGGCCCUUCCCUCCAUCUUCUAAGCCAGCAAAGUCGAAUUCCCCGAUUAUUUCUUCCUUAGUCAUCUCUCACUCUCUGACCAUGAUUGUGAAAGGUUCUCUGCUUUUAAAGACUCAUGUUAGAUUGGGCACACCUGGAUAAUCCAGGCAAGUCUUCCUGUCUCCAGGUUCUUAAACAUAAUCACACCUACAAAAUUUCUUUUGCCAUGUAAAGAACAUACUCACAGAUUCCGGGGAUUCAAACAUAAAUAUAUCUGGGGUGGAGGGAGUGCUGAAUGUUUACGUCCACCAUAAUUAUCUAAGGAUUUUUCUUUUCUUUUCUUUUCUGCUAAGACAUUAGCGGCUUCUCACUACAUAGAUACAUGAAUAAAUUCUCCACUUACUUGGAAGAAGUCCCCCAACUAAACAACUUAGUUAUUAAGUAGAAAGUAUUCCAUUCAUAAAUAUUUUUAUAAAUUAUUUUUUAAAAAAUCAUAUUCUACAUACAACAAUCCCUUUUGGUUAGGAUGGGAUUACACGUGGUCUUUUAUUUACUUUUGGUUCAGAUAGAGAAAAAAAAAAAAAUAUAUAUAUAUAUUUAACAGGGAUACAGAAAACUGCUGCAGCUAACAACCAUGGAAGGAGGCAGAGAAUUCCUACCCCUGGGCUUGAAAGAACAAGGGUGAGAUGAGGUCCUGGGUUCUUGUCCUGCGUCUAAGAAGAAUGAGGUUACACUGACAGCUGAAGGGUGAGCAAGGCGAAGAGUUUUAUUGAGUGACAGUUCUCAGCAGAGAGGGGACUUAAAGA